Molecule: ribosomal RNA, 820 nt
Filed under: uncultured Anaerovibrio sp.
Lineage: Bacteria; Bacillati; Bacillota; Negativicutes; Selenomonadales; Selenomonadaceae
Description: bacterial SSU rRNA
Rfam family: Bacterial small subunit ribosomal RNA
Source: RNAcentral
CCUGGCGGCGUGCUUACCUGCAAGUCGAACGGAGAUUCAGCAAUGGAUCUUAGUGGCGAACGGGUGAGUAACGCGUAGGCAAUCUGCCUUCUAGAUGGGGACAACAUCCCGAAAGGGGUGCUAAUACCGAAUGUUGUAAUUGGUUCGCAUGGACUAGCUACUAAAGGUGGCCUCUGAAUAUGCUACCGCUAGAAGAUGAGCCUGCGUCUGAUUAGCUAGUUGGAGGGGUAACGGCCCACCAAGGCUUCGAUCAGUAGCCGGUCUGAGAGGAUGAACGGCCACACUGGGACUGAGACACGGCCCAGACUCCUACGGGAGGCAGCAGUGGGGAAUCUUCCGCAAUGGACGAAAGUCUGACGGAGCAACGCCGCGUGAGUGAAGAAGGUUUUCGGAUCGUAAAGCUCUUUCGUUAGGGACGAACGUGCUCUUUGUGAAUAAUGAGGAGUAAUGACGGUACCUAAAUAAGAAGCCACGGCUAACUACGUGCCAGCAGCCGCGGUAAUACGUAGGUGGCAAGCGUUGUCCGGAAUUAUUGGGCGUAAAGCGCGCGCAGGCGGGAUAUCAAGUCUGUCUUAAAAGUGCGAGGCUCAACCUCGUGAGGGGACGGAAACUGGUAUUCUUGAGUGUCGGAGAGGAAAGUGGAAUUCCAAGUGUAGCGGUGAAAUGCGUAGAGAUUUGGAAGAACACCAGUGGCGAAGGCGACUUUCUGGACGAUGUCUGACGCUGAGGCGCGAAAGCUAGGGGAGCGAACGGGAUUAGAUACCCCGGUAGUCCUAGCCGUAAACGAUGGGUACUAGUGUAGGGGUAUCGACCCCUCCUG